GCAGCCGCGUAAUUCCAGCUCCAAUAGCGUAUAUUAAAGUUGCUGCAGUUAAAAAGCUCGUAGUUGAAUUUCGGGACCAUCAUGUCGGUCGUGCCUCGGUACGUACUGGCAUUGUUGGUUUCUCCCUUCUGACGAACCAUGAUGUCAUUUAUUUGGUGUUGUGGGAAAUCAGGACUGUUACUUUGAAAAAAUUAGAGUGUUUAAAGCAGGCUCACGCUUGAAUACAUUAGCAUGGAAUAAUGAAAUAGGACGUUUGAUUCUAUUUUGUUGGUUUCUAGGAUCGACGUAAUGAUUAAUAGGGAUAGUUGGGGGCAUUAGUAUUCAAUUGUCAGAGGUGAAAUUCUUGGAUUUAUUGAAGACUAACUACUGCGAAAGCAUUUGCCAAGGAUGUUUUCAUUAAUCAAGAACGAAAGUUAGGGGAUCGAAGACGAUCAGAUACCGUCGUAGUCUUAACCAUAAACUAUGCCGACUAGGGAUCGGAUGAUGUUAAUUUUUUAAUGACUCAUUCGGCGCCUUACG
This 519-nucleotide unclassified non-coding RNA is filed under the name uncultured Glomeromycotina. RNAcentral describes it as "SSU rRNA". It matches the Rfam family "Eukaryotic small subunit ribosomal RNA", at positions 570 to 1092 of the family's 1831-position model. Lineage: Eukaryota; Fungi; Glomeromycota. The record is from RNAcentral.